CCUACGGGAGGCAGCAGUGAGGAAUAUUGGUCAAUGGACGAUAGUCUGAACCAGCCAAGUAGCGUGAAGGAUGACUGCCCUAUGGGUUGUAAACUUCUUUUAUAAGGGAAUAAAACGAGGCACGUGUGCCUUUUUGCAUGUACUUUAUGAAUAAGGAUCGGCUAACUCCGUGCCAGCAGCCGCGGUAAUACGGAGGAUCCGAGCGUUAUCCUGAUUUAUUGGGUUUAAAGGGAGCGUAGAUGGUUUGUUAAGUCAGUUGUGAAAGUUUGCGGCUCAACCGUAAAAGUGCAAUUGAUACUGGCAGUCUGGAGUACAGUAGAGGUAGGCGGAAUUCGUGGGGUAGCGGUGAAAUGCUUAGAUAUCACGAAGAACUCCGAUUGCGAAGGCAGCUUACUAAACUGCAACUGACAUUGAUGCUCGAAAGUGUGGGUAUCAAACAGGAUGAGAUACCCUAGUAGUC
RNAcentral lists this ribosomal RNA (460 nucleotides) under uncultured bacterium. RNAcentral describes it as "partial 16S ribosomal RNA". It matches the Rfam family "Bacterial small subunit ribosomal RNA", at positions 338 to 795 of the family's 1533-position model. The record is from RNAcentral.